RNAcentral lists this ribosomal RNA (500 nucleotides) under uncultured bacterium. RNAcentral's name for it is "partial 16S ribosomal RNA". It matches the Rfam family "Bacterial small subunit ribosomal RNA", at positions 30 to 523 of the family's 1533-position model. The record is from RNAcentral.
AUUGAACGCUGGCGGCAUGCCUUACACAUGCAAGUCGAACGGUAACGCGGGGGCAACCCUGGCGACGAGUGGCGAACGGGUGAGUAAUACAUCGGAACAUAUCCAGUAGCGGGGGAUAACCUAUCGAAAGAUUGGCUAAUACCGCAUACGAUCUACGGAUGAAAGCGGGGGACCGCAAGGCCUCGCACUAUUGGAGUGGCCGAUGUCAGAUUAGCUAGUUGGUGGGGUAAAAGCCUACCAAGGCGACGAUCUGUAGCUGGUCUGAGAGGACGAGCAGCCACACUGGAACUGAGACACGGUCCAGACUCCUACAGGAGGCAGCAGUGGGGAAUUUUGGACAAUGGGCGCAAGCCUGAUCCAGCCAUGCCGCGUGAGUGAAGAAGGCCUUCGGGUUGUAAAGCUCUUUCGGUGAAGACGAAACGGUUCGCGUUAAUAGCGCUGACUAAUGACGGUACUCACAGAAGAAGCACCGGCUAACUACGUGCCAGCCGCCGCAGUAA